GAUGAACGCUGGCGGCGUGCCUAAUACAUGCAAGUCGAACGCAUUGAGAGAAGUGCUUGCACUUUUCAAUUUGAGUGGCGAACGGGUGAGUAACACGUGGGCAACCUACCUGAUAGCGGGGGAUAACGAGUGGAAACAUUCGCUAAUACCGCAUAACAAUAGAGAAGGCAUCUUCUUUAUUGAAAAGGCGCUUUCAAGCGUCACUAUCAUAUGGGCCCGCGGUGCAUUAGUUAGUUGGUGGGGUGAAGGCCUAACAAGACGAUGAUGCAUAGCAGUGUUGAAAGAAUGAUCGGCCACAUUGGGACUGAGACACGGCCCAAACUCCUACGGGAGGCUGCAGUAGGGAAUCUUCCACAAUGGACGAAAGUCUGAUGGAGCAACGCCGCGUGUGUGAUGAAGGCUUUCGGGUCGUAAAGCACUGUUGUAUGGGAAGAAAUGCUAGGCUAGGAAAUGAGCUUAGUUUGACGGUACCAUACCAGAAAGGGACGGCUAAAUACGUGCCAGCCGCCGCAGUAA
Molecule: ribosomal RNA, 516 nt
Filed under: uncultured bacterium
Lineage: Bacteria
Description: partial 16S ribosomal RNA
Rfam family: Bacterial small subunit ribosomal RNA
Source: RNAcentral